UGGGGAAUAUUGCACAAUGGGCGCAAGCCUGAUGCAGCCAUGCCGCGUGUAUGAAGAAGGCCUUCGGGUUGUAAAGUACUUUCAGCGAGGAGGAAGGCGUUAAGGUUAAUAACCUUGGCGAUUGACGUUACUAGCAGAAGAAGCACCGGCUAACUCCGUGCCAGCAGCCGCGGUAAUACGGAGGGUGCAAGCGUUAAUCGGAAUUACUGGGCGUAAAGCGCACGCAGGCGGUCUGUUAAGUCAGAUGUGAAAUCCCCGGGCUCAACCUGGGAACUGCAUUUGAAACUGGCAGGCUUGAGUCUUGUAGAGGGGGGUAGAAUUCCAGGUGUAGCGGUGAAAUGCGUAGAGAUCUGGAGGAAUACCGGUGGCGAAGGUGGCCCCCUGGACAAAGACUGACGCUCAGGUGCGAAAGCGUGGGGAGCAAACA
This 427-nucleotide ribosomal RNA is filed under the name uncultured prokaryote. RNAcentral's name for it is "bacterial SSU rRNA". It matches the Rfam family "Bacterial small subunit ribosomal RNA", at positions 355 to 774 of the family's 1533-position model. The record is from RNAcentral.